UACGUAAGGUGCGAGCGUUAAUCGGAAUUACUGGGCGUAAAGCGUGCGCAGGCGGUUUUGUAAGCCAGGUGUGAAAUCCCCGGGCUCAACCUGGGAAUGGCAUUUGGGACUGCAAGGCUGGAGUGCGGCAGAGGAGACUGGAAUUCCUGGUGUAGCAGUGAAAUGCGUAGAUAUCAGGAGGAACACCGAUGGCGAAGGCAGGUCUCUGGGCUGACACUGACGCUCAUGCACGAAAGCGUGGGGAGCAAACAGG
RNAcentral lists this ribosomal RNA (253 nucleotides) under uncultured bacterium. RNAcentral describes it as "partial 16S ribosomal RNA". It matches the Rfam family "Bacterial small subunit ribosomal RNA", at positions 524 to 776 of the family's 1533-position model. The record is from RNAcentral.